UACAUAGGGUGCGAGCGUUAAUCGGAAUUACUGGGCGUAAAGCGUGCGCAGGCGGUUUUGUAAGCCGGAUGUGAAAUCCCCGGGCUUAACCUGGGAAUGGCAUUCGGGACUGCAAGGCUGGAGUGCGGCAGAGGAGACUGGAAUUCCUGGUGUAGCAGUGAAAUGCGUAGAUAUCAGGAGGAACACCGAUGGCGAAGGCAGGUCUCUGGGCUGACACUGACGCUCAUGCACGAAAGCGUGGGGAGCAAACAGG
This 253-nucleotide ribosomal RNA is filed under the name uncultured bacterium. RNAcentral's name for it is "partial 16S ribosomal RNA". It matches the Rfam family "Bacterial small subunit ribosomal RNA", at positions 524 to 776 of the family's 1533-position model. The record is from RNAcentral.